UUAGUGCCAAGCGCACACUGACUCGCACAAAGGACGGCCGAAAUGACAAGCUUUGGGGCGUAAAAGGAGACUUGUUUAUGUCUUGUUGAACCAUAUAAACGAGCUGCACAGGCCACACUGUAAAAUAUGUACAUGCCAUUCCCCGGCUAAAAGCAAACAAACAAAAACAUCGAAGAGACAACCCCCCCUUUGCGCCCUUUCCUGCUAUUUGUCGCAAUCGGACUACGGAUCUGUCUGCGCCAGGCAGAGACAACGAGGGUGAAAAAAGGAGCGAGGAGGUGGGGGAGCCAGAGGGGAAAGCGUGAGGCGGCUGAUAACAACGAGACCGCCGGAGAGAACGCACAGCCUGCGGUAGUCCAGCAGAGGUUUGGAGAUGGACAGAUAAAUCACUUCAAACCUGACUCAUCCCCCGUACAGACUGCAGAGCAAACAUUCUGGCUUAUUAAAAGGAAUUCGACUCAUCGUUGACCCAGAUCUGGUGUCAAACCACCGUGCGCUGGCCCGCGUCAAAGCCACCGACUGGGGACUUUAAUCAAGAUGAGUGAACGGCCUGCUGAGGGUUUCCUCCAGCUCUAAGUAAUCCUCUUCUUCCAGCCUCCGCUUAUUGAUCGGCUCAUUGAUUUCAUUUAGCGGCCACGCGGGUACCCCUUCCUUUCUGGCAUUUUAAGGCAUUACCUAAUCUGGUUAUGCUGCUUCCACAGGUGCCACAGUUGCAGUAAAAUGGCAAGAAGCAUGAGGCUAUUCUUUGUGGGAGAAGGGCUCUCCGACACGAUUUUACUCCAUUUUAGACUCCGCCCUGACUAGAUUCUCCCUCGAUCUGCAGACCAGAACAAAUAUUUCAGCCUAGAGACAACUGAAUUUCCAGGCAGUCUUUGUAAGCUGCCUUUAUACACAAGGGAAUUGGGUAUCCAUAGCUCCCUUACAGGAUUGUUCCAUUAAGUUGCAGCUGAAAAGUACACUGAUGAGUUGGGUUAAGUCUUGGUUUGUAAAUAUGAGUAAUUAAACAUGUUCUGACGCAUCAUCAUUGUUUUAGUGGUGAACAAAUAUUAAUUCAUUAAUAUUGCAAGUGGGUACUUGACAAACUGCAGAAAAGCCAGCAAAUCCGCACCUCUGAAUGUUUAUUUCAGGAAGCAAUUGUUUCCUUUAGGCCUCUCUGUUAUCUUCUAAGAUAAUAGAAGCUUUCAAAGCAUGAUUACUUCCCGUUAGCAUCAACUAAGCCGGUACAGAACAUAAAAGCUUUGUGACUAUGAGACGCAGGGGGCAUCAGGGGUAAACUCAUAGAAAACAGGUGGUGGAGUUCCUCUCGGUUUUUUAUCAUCAAAAUUAACUGAAAUUACGGAUUAAAGAUUGGUUUCAUAAUGGGACAGGGAUACCUUUUUUUUCCCACUCCUCAGCCUUAAACAGCUGUUUGGCUAUUAGAACUACAACCAAUUAUGUUUACAUGCUGUUCCUAUUAAACAUUUGUAAUUGUGAGAAGAAAGCAAGAUUUUAUUUUCUGUUUAGAGCUGUUGGAUUGAUGCCUUUCCCCCCACUAACAUCACGCUCCGAGGCAUAAGCCUGUUCAAAAUGCGCUGCAAAUGUGGAUCACUCGGGUUUCGUUAUUAAAAAAACACAAUUUUGG
Long non-coding RNA from Takifugu rubripes (torafugu), 1621 nucleotides. Lineage: Eukaryota; Metazoa; Chordata; Actinopteri; Tetraodontiformes; Tetraodontidae. The record is from Ensembl.